This 301-nucleotide ribosomal RNA is filed under the name uncultured bacterium. Its description in RNAcentral is "partial 16S ribosomal RNA". It matches the Rfam family "Bacterial small subunit ribosomal RNA", at positions 509 to 807 of the family's 1533-position model. The record is from RNAcentral.
CAGUAGCCGCGGUAAUACGUAGGGUGCGAGCGUUAAUCAGAAUUACUGGGCGUAAAGCGUGCGUAGGCGGUGAGUUAAGUCUGCUGUGAAAUCCCCGGGCUCAACCUGGGAAUGGCAGUGGAUACUGGCUCGCUAGAGUGUGUCAGAGGAUGGUGGAAUUCCCGGUGUAGCGGUGAAAUGCGUAGAGAUCGGGAGGAACAUCAGUGGCGAAGGCGGCCAUCUGGGACAACACUGACGCUGAGGCACGAAAGCGUGGGGAGCAAACAGGAUUAGAUACCCGCGUAGUCCCUGUCUCUUAUAC